UCCUGUCUUGAAUGAUGAUGUGAAAUGCCAUGAUUUUAUGCAUGUACAUUAAUGUUAUGCUUUGAUAUGUGAUGUAUGUGAUGCGGGUUCAUGUGUUUGCACAUGAACCAUUUGAUGCUAAUGUUCUAUGUGAUGUAUGUUGUUUUUCAGAAAACAGGAUGAGAGGAACUCGUCGAUCUGCACGAUUGACUGGAGUACCACCCCAGGACGAGGGCAUUGAUGCCCGUCCUCCUGCAUUGCCUAGGGCAAUAUCAAGUAGG
Molecule: long non-coding RNA, 260 nt
Filed under: Manihot esculenta (cassava)
Lineage: Eukaryota; Viridiplantae; Streptophyta; Magnoliopsida; Malpighiales; Euphorbiaceae
Description: long non-coding RNA (MESC_LNC008688)
Source: RNAcentral